AUGUUACACGUACUGACAGAAGUGUUUCCAGGAUCUGAGAUUCACAAAAGACACUGCAGUGAAAAAUUCAGGAACAUAUGGAUACAAACUUUAUCCUCUGAACAACAUGAGAAUUUUUGGAAAAACAGCAGGUAACCAAGAAUUUUCUGGGUAUCUC
RNAcentral lists this long non-coding RNA (157 nucleotides) under Coturnix japonica (Japanese quail). RNAcentral describes it as "lncRNA (ENSCJPG00005007589.1)". Lineage: Eukaryota; Metazoa; Chordata; Aves; Galliformes; Phasianidae. The record is from RNAcentral.